Molecule: ribosomal RNA, 262 nt
Filed under: uncultured bacterium
Lineage: Bacteria
Description: partial 16S ribosomal RNA
Rfam family: Bacterial small subunit ribosomal RNA
Source: RNAcentral
CAGCAAUGCUCUGACGGCGACCGGCGGAAGGGUGCGUAACACGUGAGCGACUUGCCCGUCACAGGGGGAUAACCGGCGGAAACGGCGACUAAUACCCCAUACGAUGCGAUGCUGCAUGGCAUUGCAUUGAAAGAUUCAUCGGUGGCGGAUAGGCUCGCGGGACAUUAGCUAGACGGCGGGGCAACGGCCCACCGUGGCGACGAUGUCUAGGGGUUCUGAGAGGAAGACCCCCACACUGGGACUGAGACACGGCCCAGACUCC